This 403-nucleotide ribosomal RNA is filed under the name uncultured bacterium. Its description in RNAcentral is "bacterial SSU rRNA". It matches the Rfam family "Bacterial small subunit ribosomal RNA", at positions 359 to 775 of the family's 1533-position model. The record is from RNAcentral.
GAAUAUUGGGCAAUGGGCGCAAGCCUGACCCAGCAACUCCGCGUGAAGGAAGAAGGCUCUCGGGUUGUAAACUUCUUUUAUCAGGGACGAAGCAAGUGACGGUACCUGAAGAAUAAGCUCCGGCUAACUACGUGCCAGCAGCCGCGGUAAUACGUAGGGAGCAAGCGUUGUUCGGAAUGACUGGGCGUAAAGGGUGCGUAGGCGGUUGUACAAGUUAGAAGUGAAAUACCCAGGGCUUAACUCGGGUGCUGCUUCUAAAACUGUAUGACUUGAGUGCAGUAGAGGUUAGUGGAAUUCCUAGUGUAGCGGUGGAAUGCGUAGAUAUUAGGAGGAACACCAGAGGCGAAGGCGGCUAACUGGACUGCAACUGACGCUGAGGCACGAAAGUGUGGGGAGCAAACAG